UAGAACUAGUUUAGUGGCGCACGGGUGCGUAACGCGUAUGCAACCUACCUUAAACAGGGGAAUAGCCUCUCGAAAGAGAGAUUAAUACCGCAUAACAUCCUUUCAGGACAUCCUGAGAGGAUCAAACCUACGGGGGUUUAAGAUGGGCAUGCGUGACAUUAGCUAGUUGGUGAGGUAACGGCUCACCAAGGCAACGAUGUCUAGGGGGUCUGAGAGGAUGUCCCCCCACACUGGUACUGAGACACGGACCAGACUCCUACGGGAGGCAGCAGUAGGGAAUAUUGGUCAAUGGGGGCAACCCUGAACCAGCCAUGCCGCGUGCAGGACUAAGGCCCUAUGGGUCGUAAACUGCUUUUGAACGGGAAGAAAUGUAUCUACGUGUAGAUAUUUGACGGUACCGUUAGAAUAAGGAUCGGCUAACUUCGUGCCAGCAGCCGCGGUAAUACGAAGGAUCCAAGCGUUGUCCGGAUUUACUGGGUUUAAAGGGUGCGUAGGCGGACUCAUAAGUC
This 509-nucleotide ribosomal RNA is filed under the name uncultured bacterium. RNAcentral's name for it is "bacterial SSU rRNA". It matches the Rfam family "Bacterial small subunit ribosomal RNA", at positions 82 to 589 of the family's 1533-position model. The record is from RNAcentral.